Molecule: ribosomal RNA, 594 nt
Filed under: uncultured bacterium
Lineage: Bacteria
Description: bacterial SSU rRNA
Rfam family: Bacterial small subunit ribosomal RNA
Source: RNAcentral
CGGCAGCACGGAGCUUGCUCUGGUGGCGAGUGGCGAACGGGUGAGUAAUAUAUCGGAACGUACCCUAGAGUGGGGGAUAACGUAGCGAAAGUUACGCUAAUACCGCAUACGAUCUAAGGAUGAAAGUGGGGGAUCGCAAGACCUCAUGCUCGUGGAGCGGCCGAUAUCUGAUUAGCUAGUUGGUAGGGUAAAAGCCUACCAAGGCAUCGAUCAGUAGCUGGUCUGAGAGGACGACCAGCCACACUGGAACUGAGACACGGUCCAGACUCCUACGGGAGGCAGCAGUGGGGAAUUUUGGACAAUGGGCGAAAGCCUGAUCCAGCAAUGCCGCGUGAGUGAAGAAGGCCUUCGGGUUGUAAAGCUCUUUUGUCAGGGAAGAAACGGUGAAAGCUAAUAUCUUUUGCUAAUGACGGUACCUGAAGAAUAAGCACCGGCUAACUACGUGCCAGCAGCCGCGGUAAUACGUAGGGUGCAAGCGUUAAUCGGAAUUACUGGGCGUAAAGCGUGCGCAGGCGGUUUUGUAAGUCUGAUGUGAAAUCCCCGGGCUCAACCUGGGAAUUGCAUUGGAGACUGCAAGGCUAGAAUCUGGCAGAG